Molecule: long non-coding RNA, 1703 nt
Organism: Lycium barbarum (goji berry)
Lineage: Eukaryota; Viridiplantae; Streptophyta; Magnoliopsida; Solanales; Solanaceae
Exons: 3
Source: RefSeq, a predicted model, not a curated record
GCCUUGCUGGGCCCUGUCACCGCACUUAGUCUACUUUACAAAACUUGUAAACAAAACCUAGAAAUGAAGAGGAAAAUCAUAGAUCUACUUACUGAGUAAAAGAAAGCAGAGGAAAAUGAUGGAUCGGCUUAGUGAUUUGCCCGAUUCAGUGCUACAAAAGAUUCUGUCUUUGGUAGAGAAUAUGACAGAAGUUGUAAGAAGUAGUGUGUUAUCCGCUUUCUUUGGAAGUCCGUUCCGCUAUCACUUCGUUUCUCUCUUGACGACUCUAAUUGUAGCGGAGAUGGUGAUAUUGAUGAUUUCGUCAAAUACGUUAAUAGACAGGUUUUGCUUUCCAGGAUAUACGAAAAUUCAGUGUGAAUAUGAGGUUCAACGAGUGUUACAGACAAGAUAUUGAUCUCUGGGUAUAUUUUGCUAAAGCUGCUAAUGUUGAAGAUUUUAUACUCACAUUAUACUAUGUUGUUAAGCAUGAUUAUGAGUUUCCUCAGUUUGGGUAUAUGAAUUCGUCCUUAAAGAAUAUGGUUUUACGUGAUUACCAACUGAACCCUACUGGUAGUAUUAGCUGGAGUAGUCUGAUUUCUCUUUCAAUUGGGGAUCUCAAGUUGACAGAUGGGGUUAUGGAAAAGGUAUUAUCUGGUUGUCCUAACUUGGAGUCCCUCGAAAUCGAUAAAUUCUCGGGCCUUAAUCAUUUGGAAAUCAGCUCUGUCAAGGUUAGGAAGUUGAUCGUUGGGAGCAGCAAAAUAGAAGGGACAAAAGCUGGCCAUCUGCUUGAAAUUUUUGCCCCAUAUGUUCAAAAUCUUCAACUUUUGGGGUCCAGACACGAGACGCCCUUGCAGCUGAGAAAUGUGGCUUCACUUGUCACUGCUUUCCUCGAUUUUACACCCUAUGUAGGCCUUUAACGUGCUGAUGAUGAUGGAGUAGACAGGGAGUGUAGUUAUUUGAAGGAGCUUCUUCAAAGUCUUGUCCACGUCAAGAGUCUUGAAUUGGGUCCUUGGUGCAUCGAGUUCUUAUCCAUAUUGGUGCUGAAAGGGUGGCAAUCUCCUGCAUCAAGUCGAAGAAUCUUAACACUUAACGCCGCCUUGGUACAGCAGGACUUCCCUGCAAUUUGCAGCUUGCUACAGAGUUCGCCAGAUCUUGAGACAUUGGUCAUUGACUGGACUAAGAACAAUUCAAGACAUUUCCUCUUGAGGUUCAUCGAUGAGGAUGAAAAUGGCAGGAUGUUUGAGAAGCAUAUUUUUGACUGCUUACUGUUCCAUCUGAGGACUGUCAAGAUCAUUAACUAUUACGGACCAUUAAGAGCAAAUAAGUAUAUAAUGCCAUUGGUAAAACAUUUGCUCAAGAAUGCAGAAGUGCUAGAGAAGAUGGUCAUUGCUGCCAGUUUACGCUACAACAAAUUCGAAGGGAGUGAUGUGUCUCGUGAUUUUGUUGAAAUGGCACAGGAGCUUCUAAGUUUUCCAAGAUCCUCCAAGCAUGCUGUAGUUCUGUUUUCUUAUUGAUAAUCCUCGGCCACUCUCAUAUGAAUGGAUUGCUACAUAGUAUUUAGCAGGUGUUACCUUAUGUGCAAAGCGUAUUACGAACUAGUCUGUGGUGAUUGUUAAGGUUGUGAUCUUUCUUGUCUGUAGCCAAAGAGUUGUCAGUAGAUGUUAAUGUCUAAGUGACUAUUUCUUCUCUGAUCAUGGUAAAUCUUGCUAUUAUAUGUUUUGUUA